Molecule: small nuclear RNA, 107 nt
Organism: Lynx canadensis (Canada lynx)
Lineage: Eukaryota; Metazoa; Chordata; Mammalia; Carnivora; Felidae
Source: Ensembl
GUGCUUGCUUCGGCAGCACAUGUACUAAAAUUGGAACAAUACGGAGAAGAUUAGGACGGCCCCUGCGCAAGGGUGACACGCAAAUUCAUGAAGCUUCCAUAUUUUUA